GAAAAUAAUUUCUGUGAUUUUUUUAUAUCAUUUACCUAGUGAUCGAAAGGAUUUAAAAUCAAUAAUUUUUAAUGGUUGAUAUCUGUCGUUUUCAAGUUUAACGGUGUAGAAGUAUUCAAAUCAGAUGAAAUUUUGAUACAAAAUUCUUUAUACUAUUUACAAUAAGAUCAAUAUUUCUGAUCGAAAAUUUUAGUGCUAUACCACCACUUUUUAUAGGAUUUUUAUUUUCAGCCGUUAAAAAUUAUUGAUUUUGAAUCAUUUUGAUUGCUAGAUAAAUGAUAUCGAAAAAUUGCAAAAAUUAUUUUCUGGAAACUUCAAAUAUGCUAGAUCAAGUCUAACAGAGCCGAUCGUUGAUUCGGACAUUCCAUCAUCGAAAAUGGCUCAGGAGCACGGAGGCCUCCGUGCUCCUAAGAGCACAGCAGUCCUGCUAUAUAUAUAUAUUAUAGUAUAUAUAUAUAUAUAUAUAUAAAGUCUUGCUUUCGAUCUUAGGGUGUUCAAAUUAAUGAUCCACACCGUUGAAUAUGAUGUAAGGUAUUUGAAGUUCUCAGGAAUAAAAUUUUAGUUUUUUUCGAUAUCGUUUACUUAGUAAAUAAAUUAUGUCAAAAUGGACGGUGGAAAUUGAAUAAUCUUUAAAAUUUGAGCAUAGGAUUUUUACAUUCAAGAUCAAGAAUGUUAACCUUAAUCUAGAUAGUUUAAAAUAUUUUCUAUCAAAAUUUGAAGAAAUUUAGAUUCUUCUAUACCAUUAAACUCCAAACUCGCCAUAGUAGCCAUUGAAAAUUAACAAUUUUGAAAUGAUUUGAUCAUAAAAUAAACUAUGUCGAAAAAUAUAAAAUUUUAUUUCUAAAAACUUUAAAUACCCUACAUUAGUUUUAACGGUGUGGAUCG
RNAcentral lists this long non-coding RNA (885 nucleotides) under Ananas comosus (pineapple). RNAcentral describes it as "long non-coding RNA (ACOM_LNC034458)". The record is from RNAcentral. Lineage: Eukaryota; Viridiplantae; Streptophyta; Magnoliopsida; Poales; Bromeliaceae.